CCGCAUUGAUAUUUAUAUAGGAGUUGCAUUGGCUUACAAGAUGAAAGAACGAUCAUGAUUAUAUCGUUACGGUACAGAGAGAGAGAGAGAGAGAGAGAGAGAGAGAGAGAGGGAGAGGGAGAGGGAGAGGGAGAUGGAGAGGGAGAGGAGGGAGAGAGAGAGAGAUCAGGUUUAGAGAUAGAAUAGAUUUACAGGUUUAAACUGGUUUCCUAUCUCUAUACAACAUAUUCUAACACUCCUC
RNAcentral lists this long non-coding RNA (241 nucleotides) under Hordeum vulgare. RNAcentral describes it as "long non-coding RNA (HVUL_LNC020548)". Lineage: Eukaryota; Viridiplantae; Streptophyta; Magnoliopsida; Poales; Poaceae. The record is from RNAcentral.